Molecule: ribosomal RNA, 470 nt
Filed under: uncultured bacterium
Lineage: Bacteria
Description: partial 16S ribosomal RNA
Rfam family: Bacterial small subunit ribosomal RNA
Source: RNAcentral
GAUGAAUGCUGGCGGCGUGCCUAACACAUGCAAGUCGAGCGGCAGCGCGAGUAGUUUACUACUUGGUGGCGAGCGGCGGACGGCUGAGUAACGCGUGGGAACAUACCCCAAAGUGAGGGAUAACCGCCCGAAAGGGUGGCUAAUACCGCAUAUGGUCUUCGGAUUAAAGGAUUUAUCCGCUUUGGGAAUGGCCUGCGUACGAUUAGAUAGUUGGUGAGGUAAAGGCUCACCAAGUCUACGAUCGUUAACUGGUUUGAGAGGAUGAUCAGUCAGACUGGAACUGAGACACGGUCCAGACUCCUACGGGAGGCAGCAGUGGGGAAUAUUGGACAAUGGGCGCAAGCCUGAUCCAGCCAUACCGCGUGGGUGAAGAAGGCCUUCGGGUUGUAAAGCCCUUUUGUUGGGAAAGAAAUCCAGCUGGUUAAUACCCGGUUGGGAUGACGGUACCCAAAGAAUAAGCACCGGCUAAC